Molecule: long non-coding RNA, 1367 nt
Organism: Ahaetulla prasina
Lineage: Eukaryota; Metazoa; Chordata; Lepidosauria; Squamata; Colubridae
Exons: 3
Source: RefSeq, a predicted model, not a curated record
GGGUAUUUCAAAAGUGUAUUUAAAGAAAAAUAUUAUUACGUAGAAUAAUAUUAAGAAGCAAUCUUUUCCAAAUAUUUCUGCAGCUUUUCAGAAUAUGUUGGUGCCCUAGUCUGUUUGAAAGAUAAAAUGUUCCACAUGAAUACUCAUGAAACAUUAACUUAAAAGCACAUCAGACUGUUCUAUAAUGAUCUCACUGCAUACUUUCAAAAUUUAAAUUUAAAUUACCUAGACUUUAAAUUUGAACUAUCUACAGUAAAUGAUCCUCAGGUUAAAAAAUUAAGAUUGCUAUAUUCAAAUGACAUAUUGCAUCCAAAUAAAUUAAGACUUGAAUGAUAAUCUGAUCUACAAUUAAAAAACCUUGGCUAUUCUACAGCAUACUAAAACACAGUGGCUCCAUUUUAGCCAAGUCUAGCAUAUUGUGUGCACACAAUCUAACCAUGGCCAAAGAACAUAUUGAUCUUCAUGAAAAUUAUAUAAAUUACAUUAGUUUGUCAUUUUGUUCUAAACACGAUACACAUAGAACAGAACAGAACAGAACAGAACAGAAUAGAAUAGAAUAGAAUAGAAUAGAAUAGAAUAGAAAAAAGAAUAGAAUAGGAUAGAAUUUUUUAUUGGGCAAGUGUGAUUGGACACACAAGGAAUUUGUCUUGGUGCAUCUGCUCUCAGUGUGCAUAAAAGAAAAUAUAGCUUCAUCAAGGUACAACAUACCCAUACAUCUAGUAAACAUGCAUUUUAAUGUCCUUGAAAUCACCAUGUACAUUAAAUGAAUGAAAACCAGAUCGUGAUCUUAACAGAAUCUGACACAAGGAAUCCCUCUUCAACCUCGCCCCUUUACCACGAUCGACCUUUUCCCUUUCCUCCUCUGGACACAAGAGCCUAUACCCUGUGAGAUGAAGUGGUAGCACCGGUGGAAAGCAUUCGGUUGGAAAUGAUUAGAAAAAGACUUGAGCAUGCUUUUGUCUCAGCCGUCCAUAAAAGGGAAACGGCACUUAAAACCCAAAUAGUGUUAAACGAUUAUUGUCUGAUGAGCCGCAACUGGCUUGAUUUAUAUUGUCACUCAACCGUAAACCAUGGUUACAAAUUACACUUGCUGCGUUCAUACAGGACACGGAGAGGUAUAUGCGAACUCAUCGGAUUCUCCUCCUGAAACUAUCUAUAGGAAGAGGUCAGCAAGCCUUUGACACAAUGCAAGGACUUGCAUUAAUAAAACUAUUCAUAUAGCACAGACUGAAGAAGCUACUUGGAUAAGCAAUGAAAUGUUUCAAACCAAAAAAGAAAAGAAGUCCAGUUGCCAUGACUCAACUUCCAAACAACUCUUCCUGGAUGACUGAGAACCUUCACUGAUAUAUUUACAUAGCACAAUUAAA